Molecule: non-coding RNA, 46 nt
Filed under: Schistosoma curassoni
Lineage: Eukaryota; Metazoa; Platyhelminthes; Trematoda; Strigeidida; Schistosomatidae
Source: RNAcentral
GCACCGCUGAGGAGUCCCAUACUAGGACGAAACGACCGCCCGGUGC